AGAGGUUAACGGUGCAUGAUAGGAUCUUGGCAGCAAACUUCUCUCUACUCCUCAACCACAAAAACAACUUCAGAAAUGGAUAGAGCCUGGGUCUACCUGGUGACAGGAGGAUGUGGUUUUAUAGGGGAGAGGAUCGUAGAGCUCCUGUCUCAGCAAGACUACAUCAAAGAAGUCAGAGUUUUUGAUUCAGCAGCAAGAGAAGAAGUAGAAAAAUUCACCACAGCUACCACUCAUGUGACAGUGAUGAAAGGAGACAUUCGAGACUACAAUCUGCUCCUUGCCGCCAUGCAGGGAGUUCACGUGGUUAUUCACACAGCUGCUAUUAUGGACUACAGAAACACUGUGCCCUUUUGGGAAAUGAGAGAUGUCAACGUUGGGGGUACUGAAAAUGUGUUAAGAGCCUGCUGUGACCUGAACAUCCCGUAUGUUGUCUACACAAGCUCCAUUGCUGCGGUGGGACCCAAUAUCUCACACGAGCCCAUGUUCAGAGGAAAUGAGGACACCAAAUACAGUGGGGAAGUGGAGCUGCCUUAUGGGAAGACAAAGGCCAUGGCAGAAAAACUUGUAUUUGAAGCCAACGGAAAAAAGCUGAGCAACGGUGGUAAACUCACAACCUGCAUUAUCCGUCCAAACACAGUGUAUGGGGAGAAAGCAUCGUUUCUUCAAGAGCUGUAUUUGUUAGCCAAAGCCAGGAAAGGUGUGUUGAACUACCUGGAGCCUGAAAACACAGAGCGUAAUAACACAUACGUGGGGAACGUCGCAUGGAUGCAUGUUCUUGCAGCAAGGAACUUGCAACUGAAACCAGACAUACUCGCAGGACAAGUGUAUUAUUCCUAUGAUGACACUCCAACAAGAAAAGGUUUUCUGAUAAGGCAUCGGCUGUUGUCCUCUAUGGACCCCUCAGUGAGACUAGGCUCACACAUCCCUUACUGGAAGAUGUGGUUAAUGAUACAAUUGCACAGGAUAAUCAAGGUUAUCCUGUACCCUUUCUGGAAGCCACCGGCUUUCAUAAACUUGCCUUUACUGAACACAAUAGUCACCACCUUCUCCUAUGAGACAGACAAAGCCUGGAGGCACUUUGGGUACAAACCCCUCUUCACCUGGGAAGAGAGCAAGCACAGAACUGUGCAGUGGUUGAAAGCAGCUGCAGGGAACCUGGAACCCCCCCAGCCGCGUGACAAGAAGAACUAAGCAGCAUGUUUGGGGGUCUCAGCCCUAUUAUGUAACAGCAGCAGCAAAAAGCGAGGGAAAAAAAAUAUUUCAGAUCUGUUUCUACUUCUGGAGAGGAGCCUUUGUGCACAAUUACUCAUCCAAGAGAUUCAGCAGGGAGAAGCAGAGAUGAAGCACAGAGGAGACAGAUGCAUGCCUUCUCUACCAGAGGAGCGGGGAGGAUGAGCAAGGAGCGCAUUGACAGAAAGACACCUGCUAUAUUUCAAACGCAGGUAAACUUCCCCAGCGCAAGCCAUGGUGUCUGCUGGAGUUGUCGGCUGAGCUGGAACACGGUUCUCCCUUCAUUUUCCAUCUUCCAAUGUCCCCAUGCGUGCACUGAGCAUUCACCCCCGCAACGCGCACACACACACACUUCAAAGAGCCACAUGCCUAACCCUGUUUGAGUUUCUAUGGAAGUCUCUGUUCUUGUGCAAUGUCUGAAGGAAGCAAGUUUGGUAAUAUUAAAACUCAAGCCAAACACAUAAACAAGCAAAGAAUCUCCAAAUUAAAAGGAAAAUCUCAACUGAGUUACUCAUUCAUCUGCAUUUUCUGUUGCGUUCUGUCUUCUCCUGGCAUGUUUCUUUUAGACAAAGCCCUCUGGGCAGAGACCAUCUCUUUUGGUGUCUGGUACAUCAGUCACAUAGUUAGUACAUAGUAAUAAAGGAAAAUAGAUUCACGGUAGGAGUUAAACCAGUCAGUCUGGUACUGUAAUUGGAACAUAAUCUCAUAUUGACAGUAUUUAACACAGGAUGCGCAGGGAACAGAUGGCAGCAUGCCCGGCCUCAAUCGUUCUGCAAAUAUUGGAAAGAGAUUUUCCAAGUCCAGCUCCUGAACCUCAUCUCCGAUGUCGGAAGCUUUGCUUCCCCAAACGGACCUAGAUCCACUCGCUAAUCCUGGUUAAAGCCCAACACACCCAUGUACUCCUGACAUGGAGCAGACAACCUGGCUAGCACCACUUCUAUUGCUAACUGUCUCACAAAUAUUUAAGGAGAUAUUUGAAAAAGCAUCAAGGGAAAAAGUCUCCAACAUCCGUUGGUACAAGCCCUCCCAAACCUCUCGACACGCUCGCAGCCUUUCCCUUACAGACACAGAUCUUGCCUGUGCCACAACACACGAACCCUUGUGCGCUUUCAGGGUCAGGGAUACCCACCAGCUGAUCAGCAAUUGGCAAUAAAUUGAGUUGUUGGCAAUAACGAGUUGUUCCUUUCUCUAAGCCUAAAAUGCUGAGCUAAAGCAGGUGAGAGGCGAGGAAGCACAUUCAUGGCCAAGAUGUAUCUUACGGUAUGGAGUGCAACUCUGCAAGUGCAGACGCAAACUCAGCUUUCCAAGGCUAUGGGAGAAGUAUAUUAUGUUUCUUAUGUCUGCUAAAGGAAGUUUAAAUUGAUUUUUCUCUAUUUCAGCAAUUAAUUCCCAUUAAUCAACUUACUGUACAAUGCUGCACUAUAAUUCACAAGUUUUAUGUAUUAUAUGAAUAAAAUUGCACAUAUAUUUUUAUGUGAUUUUCAUUUAAUUGAAUUCUAAGGAGAUUUAUCUGCUGGGUUAUUAAUAAAUCUUAAUAUGGCCUAUAACACUCAAUUGAUAUUUAAUUAACCUGCAAUAACUGCCUUGUAAAAUGUAAAUUAAAUGCUUUAUUUUUCCAGGCAUAUAACCUUAAAUCAAAUUCUUCAUUCUACCAGCAAAGCAAAAAGGAGUGGGGAAAAAACAAGAUUGCAGGCAACCAAGCCUUAGACCUGAAAAUAUUUGAUGUUUAAAGAGGUUCAAAAUGGAAGCCGGAUCCAGGCUUUGUAAUCAGUUCUCCCAAGGAAGUACUUUUCCACUGUCUCCCCACCUUUAAAGAUCACAAGAAUCUGGGUGGAUUUAGAUGAAACAUCAAAAUCUCAGGAGACUUGAAGAGAAAUGAGAGGCGCCCAUUAUUAAUAAUAAGGUUGCAAAUUCCCAUAGGUAUUGUGGUAUUUGGCAUUUUUCUUAAAGUCUUGGCUCCUAGAGUCACAUUAUCAAACAAGAAUGUCAAUUUUCAUUUAAAAAUGAAAAAAAGAAAGUUGUUAAAGACCUUUGAUAGGGGAAGAAGUUUGCAAACCUAAAUGUCAAAGGCAUGAGAACUAAGAGACAAAAAUACAUAAAAUUUGAUCCUUAUCUUUAAAAGUAUCAGAACUUUUUGAGAGACUUGAGAUGUUUGAAAACUGGGAGGUGGCAACAAAUGAUCAAAACAGCCUUUAUGAGAAAAGAUGAGAACAGUCCAAAUUAUAUUUUAAGAUCAAACUGUUCUCCUCCCCCUCCCCUAGCAAUUUACAUAGAUCUACAUUAAAUACUGCAAACUGCAUCAACAACUAUUUCUGAUUUCAAAACUUGGAUAGCUAGUUACCUUUGCAAAGUGAUUUGAAAACUUCCUGAGCGUACGUCUGUCUAAAAUUGAUAGGCCUAUAAAGUUUUACUGCCAUAGCAUCUAAACUUAGUAUAUCUUUCUUUUUUUUAAUGCAUGGAGCGGCCAAUCUGUCUUACAAUGUUUUAUUAAAUAGGGUAUUUCCACCAAAGGACAGUAACCCUUACUGUCUGUAAUCUGUCUGCAUUAGAUCACUUUAAAAGGUAUUAAAUGAAAAUCAAAAGUUAAAUGUACCAUGGAUUUUAAAGGUGUCACAGCAUGGAAGAAUAAAAAUGAAGAGAAUGGAUUCUGACUUGCAAUGAAUGAACGGAAAUAAAUCCAGAUCUUCUGUAAUGGAAAGCCUGUCCUCCCUCGCUGUUCAUCCUCUCCAGUCACUCAUUCGCCGCCCUGCUCCCCUAACUGACAGCCCGGGAGCCCCACUCAGCCUAACCAAGCGCAGGGAUUCUGCCCAGGAACUCGCGGGGCCGAGGGAUUUCUCAAACGGCUCCGGCAUGCUGUAGAGCAGGAGGGUACGUGAUCCUGCCGUCCCGUAGUGACUCAAGGGCUCGCGUGAAUUGCAUUGCCUAGAAAAGCAUUGCUGACUAGCCCAAAUUUUGCCACUCUCACACUUUGCAAGCAGCUUUGCUGCUUCAGAAGAGGAGUACCCGGAGCGGGGAGUCAGCAGAUGCAAGUGGCCUCAUGCUCGCAAUAAUUGACUGGAAUUUUGCAGACCUGGGUUUAAUCCCCAGCUCCAGCAUGGACUCACUGGGUAAUUUACAGCUGGUUUCUUCCUCUCUGUCUCUCUGCAUUUUAUGAUUUUGGCAAUUGAUCAGAAUUAGCCUCCUCUCCUUCUCUUACCUUUCAUCUUUUUAAUGGAGAACGUAUCCUGCAAGCGUGCUUUGUCGGAUCUGCUGUCAGCCGUCGCUGGAGGGGAGCUGAGCCCAGCCUGAGUCUGCAGACCACAGCUCCUUCCCAGGACACUUGGGUUUUACUCUACUGGAUAAACAUUGACACGCUAGAUUUUUUUUGCCCCCCUCAAAGUAGGUUUCUGAUUGAGCUGAAUCUAGCACAGCUCUCAUUAAGGACUGACCAUGACUGACAGUUUACAUUUACUUGGGUAGCACUUUUUAUCCAGCAAAGUCACCUGGGAGCUGCACUAAGAAGAAACACAGGAGUCCCAUCUACCCACAGACUACUCCUAACGACACUCCUGGGAAUUAAACCACAACAUGAGGAACAAAUGUAAUAGAUCAAAAAUUGGGGGGCUGCAAGUUCUCAGAAGUGCUUAGGACCUGACAGGCUCCCCACAGAAAUUUUACCACUAAGUUUAAUAAAAACAGAAGUAAGCCAAGUGUAGGACUGCUGGUGGCCCCUGCGUGAACAGUCUCUCUCUCGGGGAUCUAAAAGCAGACCCACCAUCACCUGAAUGACUUCUCUCUGCCCUGACCACUGGACUAUCCUAUAGUCACACCCACGUCUAGCCCCAGUCCUAAAUCCCUUUAUGACCAUACCACCCGCCUCUUAAAUCCCCACUCCCAUC
This is an RNA transcript of Chroicocephalus ridibundus (black-headed gull), 5108 nucleotides long. It is a transcript of the gene named 3 beta-hydroxysteroid dehydrogenase type 7-like, with no coding region annotated. The transcript has 8 exons. The record is from RefSeq and is a predicted model, not a curated record. NCBI's taxonomy places the organism in Eukaryota, Metazoa, Chordata, Aves, Charadriiformes, Laridae.